This 497-nucleotide ribosomal RNA is filed under the name uncultured bacterium. Its description in RNAcentral is "partial 16S ribosomal RNA". It matches the Rfam family "Bacterial small subunit ribosomal RNA", at positions 28 to 507 of the family's 1533-position model. The record is from RNAcentral.
GAUGAACGCUGGCGGCGUGCCUAAUACAUGCAAGUCGAGCGAACAGACGAGGAGCUUGCUCCUUCGACGUUAGCGGCGGACGGGUGAGUAACACGUAGGUAACCUACCUAUAAGACUGGGAUAACUUCGGGAAACCGGAGCUAAUACCGGAUAAUAUUUCGAACCGCAUGGUUCGAUAGUGAAAGAUGGCUUUGCUAUCACUUAUAGAUGGACCUGCGCCGUAUUAGCUAGUUGGUAAGGUAACGGCUUACCAAGGCAACGAUACGUAGCCGACCUGAGAGGGUGAUCGGCCACACUGGAACUGAGACACGGUCCAGACUCCUACGGGAGGCAGCAGUAGGGAAUCUUCCGCAAUGGGCGAAAGCCUGACGGAGCAACGCCGCGUGAGUGAUGAAGGUCUUCGGAUCGUAAAACUCUGUUAUUAGGGAAGAGCAAACGUGUAAGUAACUGUGCACGUCUUGACGGUACCUAAUCAGAAAGCCACGGCUAACUACGUG